This 744-nucleotide ribosomal RNA is filed under the name uncultured bacterium. Its description in RNAcentral is "bacterial SSU rRNA". It matches the Rfam family "Bacterial small subunit ribosomal RNA", at positions 8 to 796 of the family's 1533-position model. The record is from RNAcentral.
AGAGUUUGAUCCUGGCUCAGAACGAACGCUGGCGGCAGGCCUCAAACAUGCAAGUCUAGGGGGUGUAGCAAUACAUCACCGGCGGACGGGUGCGUAACGCGUGGGAAUAUACCUUUUGGUUCGGAAUAACCCCGGGAAACUGGGGCUAAUACCGGAUGGUUCCUACGGGAUAAAGAUUUAUCGCCAAAAGAUGAGUCCGCGCCCGAUUAGCUAGUUGGCGGGGUAAUGGCCCACCAAGGCUACGAUCGGUAGCUGGUCUGAGAGGACGAUCAGCCACACUGGGACUGAGACACGGCCCAGACUCCUACGGGAGGCAGCAGUGGGGAAUAUUGGACAAUGGGGGCAACCCUGAUCCAGCCAUGCCGCGUGAGUGAUGAAGGCCUUCGGGUUGUAAAGCUCUUUUGGCGGGGACGAUGAUGACGGUACCCGCAGAAUAAGCCCCGGCUAACUUCGUGCCAGCAGCCGCGGUAAGACGAAGGGGGCUAGCGUUGUUCGGAAUUACUGGGCGUAAAGCGCGUGUAGGCGGCUGCCAAAGUCGGGUGUGAAAGCCUUGAGCUCAACUCAAGAAAUGCACUCGAUACUUGGUGGCUAGAGGACCGGAGAGGAUAGUGGAAUUCCCAGUGUAGUGGUGAAAUACGUAGAGAUUGGGAAGAACACCAGUGGCGAAGGCGGCUAUCUGGACGGUUUCUGACGCUAAGACGCGAAAGCGUGGGGAGCAAACAGGAUUAGAUACCCUAGUAGUCC